This 446-nucleotide ribosomal RNA is filed under the name uncultured bacterium. Its description in RNAcentral is "partial 16S ribosomal RNA". It matches the Rfam family "Bacterial small subunit ribosomal RNA", at positions 338 to 795 of the family's 1533-position model. The record is from RNAcentral.
CCUACGGGUGGCAGCAGUCGAGAAUCAUUCACAAUGGGGGAAACCCUGAUGGUGCGACGCCGCGUGGGGGAAUGAAGGUCUUCGGAUUGUAAACCCCUGUCAUGUGGGAGCAAAUUAAAAAGAUAGUACCACAAGAGGAAGAGACGGCUAACUCUGUGCCAGCAGCCGCGGUAAUACAGAGGUCUCAAGCGUUGUUCGGAAGCACUGGGCGUAAAGCGUGCGUAGGCUGUUUCGUAAGUCGUGUGUGAAAGGCGCGGGCUCAACCCGCGGACGGCGCAUGAUACUGCGAGACUAGAGUAAAGGAGGGGGAACCGGAAUUCGCGGUGUAGCAGUGGAAUGCGUAGAUAUCGAGAGGAACACUAGUGGCGAAGGCGGGUUCCUGGAGAUUAACUGACGCUGAGGCACGAAGGCCAGGGGAGCGAAAGGGAUUAGAUACCCUGGUAGUC